Molecule: ribosomal RNA, 253 nt
Filed under: uncultured bacterium
Lineage: Bacteria
Description: partial 16S ribosomal RNA
Rfam family: Bacterial small subunit ribosomal RNA
Source: RNAcentral
UACAGAGGUCUCAAGCGUUGUUCGGAUUCAUUGGGCGUAAAGGGUGCGUAGGCGGCGCGGUAAGUCGGGUGUGAAAUCUCGGGGCUUAACUCCGAAACUGCAUUCGAUACUGUCGUGCUUGAGGACUGGAGAGGGGACUGGAAUUUACGGUGUAGCGGUGAAAUGCGUAGAUAUCGUAAGGAAGACCAGUGGCGAAGGCGGGUCUCUGGACAGUUCCUGACGCUGAGGCACGAAGGCCAGGGGAGCAAACGGG